GAGCUGAGUGACUGGACAUUGCAUGAGCUUCUCCCCUGUGAACUUGAUUGCAGCACGAGGCCAUUUAUAGCAGGCUCCUGCUGUACUGCUGGGCUGCCUGCAGUCCCUAGGGGAUGUACACCACUUCUUGACUGGUUUCCAGGAGGCUUGUGAGUGGUAGGCACUGGAAUCACUGCUGUUAGACAGGAGUAUAUCAAGGGGAUGUCAUCUCUGCAAGGUGCCUGAUUCUCUUCUAACCAUCACUGCCAAGGGUCACCACUGGGACAGUCAGACCAGCUCCUGCUGCAGAGAAGGCAGAAACAGACAUGAGGUGAAAUGACAAAGAUUUCACCAGAAAUUGUGGGGCAUUGUCAUGCCUGUAACUGAAAAGGAAAUCAUCUGGGUUUCUCAAGGCAGUUUUGCAGGAAAA
Molecule: long non-coding RNA, 409 nt
Organism: Vidua chalybeata
Lineage: Eukaryota; Metazoa; Chordata; Aves; Passeriformes; Viduidae
Exons: 3
Source: RefSeq, a predicted model, not a curated record